This 665-nucleotide ribosomal RNA is filed under the name Alexandrium cf. catenella. RNAcentral's name for it is "LSU rRNA". It matches the Rfam family "Eukaryotic large subunit ribosomal RNA", at positions 47 to 651 of the family's 3401-position model. Lineage: Eukaryota; Dinophyceae; Gonyaulacales; Pyrocystaceae. The record is from RNAcentral.
UAAGUGGUGGAAUUAAACCAACUGGGAUCUCUUCAGUAAUUGCGCAUGAACCAGGAUAUGCUUAGCUUGACAAAUGGAGCUGCUGGCUCUGAAUUGUAUUGUGGGAAUGUAUUACCCAACAGAGGUGCAGGUGUCAGCCAUUUGAAAGAAGGCAUCAAUGAGGGUGAGAGUCCUGUUUGUCAUGUGCAGCCUUCUGUGCACGGUGUAUAUUUGCUGAGUCACACUCCUUGGCAUUGGAAUGCAAAGUGGGUGGUAAGUUUCAUGCAAAGGUAAAUAUGCAAUUGAGACUGAUAGCGCACAAGUACCAUGAGGGACAUAUGAAAAGGACUUUGAAAAGAGAAUUAAAUGAGUUUGUAUUUGCUAAACACAAAGUAAACAGACUUGAUUUCCUCAGUGAGAUUGUAGUGCUUGCUUAACAAUGGGUUUUGGCUGCAAGUGCAAUAAUUCUUGCUUUGUGUGCCAGUUUUUAUGUGGACAUUUGAUUACCUUUGCACAUGAAUGGUAAUUUCCCUGCGGGGUGUGGAUUGCAUAUGCAUGUAAUGAUUUGCAUGUUUGUUAAAUGUGUCUGGUGUAUUUGUUUGUGUCCUUGUCCUUGAGGUUGCUUUCUCCCUUGGGCUUACAUGCCCUGGCACACACAUUCUGGCAAAAUGCUUCUGCUUGACCCG